This 921-nucleotide ribosomal RNA is filed under the name uncultured Ascomycota. RNAcentral describes it as "eukaryotic LSU rRNA". The stretch from base 273 to 921 matches the Rfam family "Eukaryotic large subunit ribosomal RNA", at positions 1 to 664 of the family's 3401-position model. Lineage: Eukaryota; Fungi; Ascomycota. The record is from RNAcentral.
CGAUGAAGAACGCAGCGAAAUGCGAUAAGUAAUGUGAAUUGCAGAAUUCAGUGAAUCAUCGAAUCUUUGAACGCACAUUGCGCCCCUUGGUAUUCCGGGGGGCAUGCCUCUUCCAGCGUCAUUUCACCACUCCCGCUCUGCGGGGUCUUGGGCCACGCCGGCAACGGCGGGCCUCGAAAACAGUGGCGGCGCCAUCGUGCUCUCAGCGUAGUAAUUCUUCUCGCUGUUGGGUCCCGGUGGUCGCCCGCCAGCAACCCCCAACUUUCUAAGUUUGACCUGGGAUGAGGUAGGGAUACCCGCUGAACUUAAGCAUAUCAAUAAGCGGAGGAAAAGAAACCAACAGGGAUUGCCUCAGUAACGGCGAGUGAAGCGGCAACAGCUCAAAUUUGAAAUCUGGUCCUUUCAGGGCCCGAGUUGUAAUUUGUAGAAGAUGCUUCGGGUGUGGCUCCGGUCUAAGUCCCUUGGAACAGGGCGUCAUAGAGGGUGAGAAUCCCGUAUGUGACUGGCUGCCUCCGCCCAUGUGAAGCUCUUUCGACGAGUCGAGUUGUUUGGGAAUGCAGCUCAAAAUGGGUGGUAAAUUUCAUCUAAAGCUAAAUAUUGGCCAGAGACCGAUAGCGCACAAGUAGAGUGAUCGAAAGAUGAAAAGCACUUUGGAAAGAGAGUUAAACAGUACGUGAAAUUGUUGAAAGGGAAGCGCUUGCAAUCAGACUUGCGCGCCGUCGAUCAUCCGCGGUUCUCCGUGGUGCACUCGGCGGCGCUCAGGCCCGCAUCGGUUUCGGUGGUCGGAUAAAGGCCUUGGGAAUGUGGCUCCUCUCGGGGAGUGUUAUAGCCCUCGGUGCAAUGCGGCCUACCGGGACCGAGGACCGCGCUUCGGCUAGGAUGCGGGCGUAAUGGUUGCAAGCGACCCGUCUUGAAACACGG